This is a long non-coding RNA of Musa acuminata AAA Group (dessert banana), 491 nucleotides long. RefSeq lists it as uncharacterized. The transcript has 2 exons. The record is from RefSeq and is a predicted model, not a curated record. Lineage: Eukaryota; Viridiplantae; Streptophyta; Magnoliopsida; Zingiberales; Musaceae.
ACUAGACCAAACCCUAAGGUGGGUAGUUUUCUACCUCGCCGCCGUGUCUCUCCAGUCUUCGCAUUGCCUCGGUUUCUUUGUUCUCCUCUCCAAAUUAGGUUACGUUCUAUUUGCAAGCGGCGACACUGUUUGUGGAAGAGACAGGUCUUCUGCCGAGUCGCGGCGAAUGCUGCCCGCUCUGCAGGAUGGUUCGCCAUCUUCAAUGAAUCGCAACAGGGUCAGCAACUCCCCGAAGAGGAACAAGAGUUUUAAAUUCUUCAACUAUUGCUCUAACUAUCCUAAUUUCCAUAAAAUUAUUGUAGACGUUUAGUUUGCUCCUCUGAAUAAUCGAUGCCAAACCCCUACCCCAAUCUUUAUUCUCAUAUAAAAGAUAAAAGGGGUCAAUGUUAGAUUGAAGAAAUGGUCACGUCAAGUUGUAAAAUAUGGUUCUACUAUCCUAUCAUUUGUUAGAGAGGAAUUAAGCAAUGUUCAAAACUCUUUCUUCGUUGCUC